UAAAUCUUCGGGCCCCCAAAUCACUAAGGGAAUAAUCAAGCUGGGAACUGCUUAGGGCAAACCUGCUUCCCAUUCUAUUCAAAGUCACCCCUCUGCUCACUGAGAUAAAUGCGUAUCUGAUUGCCUCCUUUGGAAAGGCUAAUCAGAAACUCACAAAAAUGAACCGUUUGUCUCUCAAGUAUCUGUGACCUGGAAGCUCCCUCCCAGCUUCAAGUUGUGCCGCCUUUCCAGACAGAACCAAUGUACAGCUUAUAUAUAUUGAUUGACGUCUCAUGUCUUCCUAAAAUGUAUAAAACCAAGCUGUGUUCUGACCAACUUGGACACAUGUCAUCAGGACCUCCUGAUGCUGUGUCACGGGCAUGCAUCCUCAACCUCGGCAAAAUAAACUUUCUAAAUUAACUGAGAUCUGUCUCAGAUAUUUGGGGUUCACAUAUAUAUGAAUAUAUGAAAUAAUUGUAUAUUUUAGAGUCCCAUUCCUGGAAGUUUAAACAGCUGUACUCAUAGCCCACACUUAAGUAGAAAGUUGGGAGAAUAUCUGACAGUAUGGGUGACAACUGCUUACUCUAGGUGCAGAUUGGGGCUUCUCAGGCAGCUAUUGGCCCCAGGGUAAUUAGCCUUCUGGUGACUACAGAAGUAGAAAGUAGAGAUCUCCAUCUACUUUACAGUUGAAGGCACUGAGUCUCAGCACACCCAGUUCAGUGGUUGUUAACUCUGGUUGCAUAGUAUAAUCACUUAGGGUGAUGAAAAGACACCCAGAAAAAAACAUCCAGGAUAGAUCCUCAGAUAUUCUGAUGUAAUUGGUCUGAGGUGAGACCCAGGCAUCAUUACAAUAUGAAAGCUCCUUGGGUGAUACUAAUAUGAAUUAGGAUUGAGAAGCUCUGGUAUAGCGGGAAAAAUAUGGGCUUUGGAGUCACUAAUAUCUGAUACAGCUCCCAGCUUUGCCAUUUAUUGGCCAUGUCAUUUUGAGUAAAUUAAUGACUACUGUCUGCUCAGGGUCCUCAUUUUAAAUCAUAAAGUUGUCACAAGGGUUAAAUGUAAUAACAUGCAAAGUGUUUUUCAAGGUUUCUGGAACAUGGUUGGUGUUAAAAAAACGUUGGGUCCUUUAGUAUGUACCUAAGGUCCUAUAGCUAGCUGAUGGUUCUGGAAAGCCAUCCAGAACCGUGCUGUGCACUCAGUGAAUGCCUGUGGAUGUUCCUUGGUGACAUCAUCUUUGAACAUGAAUAUGGGUGUUACUGAGACAUUUCGAACACCACAUUGAGUUGGUGUUCAUCAGAACAAUAAAGCCAUACCUCAUAGAGAUUCAUCUCAUUUGCUGAAUAUUAAUUUGCCUCCUAUUUUUAGUUCUUCAGCUAAAAAGAAACCAAUUUUUAUUCUGCUAAACCAAUUGAUUAUGAUGGAACUCUUGCAAGAAAAAAGUUACACUGUUACAAUUACAUAAAUGUAUGGAAGUCUUUGUGUAACUUAUGUAGUAAGCUGAGGAUAUAACAGUUAAAUUGUCCUUUAAAAAUUUUAAGACCUGCCCCACCCUCCACCCCCAGCAAUGAACGAUUUCACUUUUCACCAGCUUUAACCUAAAUGUCUUUAGCCUAUUUUCUUUAUCCAUCCUAUGAUAGACAGAAGAGUUAGUGAGAACUGGAUUUGAUUUCAGAAGACCUGGGAUUGAGGCUUGGCUCUGUCAUUCACUGGGUAUAAACCUCGGGCGAUCAUUCUUCUUUGCUCUCGUGCCUUCUCAUGAAUGCAAUGAGCACCUGAAUAGCAUGACCUGACUUUAGCAUGAAGUGAGUUUAAAACUGUGAUGCUGACCAAGCAGGACAUGGUUAUUUAACACUUAUUAAGCACCUCCUGUAUGUCCAGCCCUCAGUAGGAAACCUUGCAGGAAUUAUAAAGCCCUGAGACUUUUAUAGAGUAACUUGGAGUCUAGCUAGAAGAGAUAAAUCUCAUGCAUGAAGAACAACUAGGACCAGUUUCCACCUGAGAGCUGCAAUAAGUCCAGCCCAGUUGACUCAUGGAGGAAAUAAGUGGAACAUUUAAGAAAUGACAAUCAUGGAGAAACGAAGGGGUGUCAAAAUUGAAUGUCCUGUCCCUUAGUGCUUUAUUUCUCUUCAGUCUCUGACACAAAGUCUUGGAUAGUAAUAACAUGACACAAAACUCCUUCAAGUUAGAUAGGGCCAGGCAUUUUUCUAACAGCACAUUCCAGAACUUUGUCCAUGUCCUAAAUCCUUAUUAUUUUGCACAGUUUUCAGCAGUCUUUUGCAAGCUCCAGGCUUUCCCCCACUCCUAUUUAGACCUCAUGUGCCUCUGAUAGCUCUGGACAGAGCCCAUACUGUGUGGCGGACGCACAAAGGGGACACAGUAUGCAAAUGGCGGUGUAGGAAGCAUCGAGGCAGGAAUGUUUGAGCUGUGCCAUGUCACAGAUCAUUUCUGAAACAGCAGUCCUGAGCUGUGAGUCACAACCCUUGUUAGGGGUGAACAGCUGAUGAGGCUGGUGUCAAUUUUUGUCUGACCCCAUCCUAAGAGCAACACCCCAAGUACUUCAAUUACCCAUUUGUAACAUUCUCCCAGCGGCAGAGAAAGGAACAACAGUGGCAGCCCACACAGUGAACCUCAAAAGUAAAGCUCUCUGAAGUAUGAAGAUAGAAGAGGAAGUUUGGGAGACUCACAAUGAAAGGGUUUAACAAGAACUGCCUGUGAAUGUGUUGACUUAGAAACUAUUGGAGCAUUGGCAAUGAUUUCCUUAACAACGGAAGGAAAAUUGACCAGGGGCAUGAGUGUUUCAUUCAUUUUUCAGAUGAGUAUAGCAGAAUUGCCAAGAGAAAGAGAAUGUCUGCUCUAGCGCAGGGUUUCAGCCCUCAGCCCAGCCACUGACUCCCUUGGUGUUCUUUUGCAAAUCAUCCAUCUCCCUGGGUCUCCGUUUAUUCAUCUGUAAAAUGAGGAGCUGGUCCAGGUAAACUGUAAGUUCCUUCCUGGCUGGAACAUCCUGAUUUGGUGCAAGCCAUAGUGAGGGUUGUUAAAUUAUGCCUUGCUCCACGCAGAGAGGUCUAACUUAACUUUGUGCACAAAGCAUACUCAUUGACUUUCUGACUAAGUGUGGCUCAGGCACUUCCCUGAACUAUGGUGUGCUGGGAGUCUCUGCCCAAGGGAAGAGAGCUAUUUUGAGGCAGGGUUGAUUAGAGAUAAGGUGUCUCAUUCCUUUACCGGUCAUUGGCCCUGACUCACCCGAAGUUCUUGGGUUUAAAGCUUAACCCUUGAUGGAUGAAUGUAAGCUAACCCCUCUGCUUGCCCAUGAAAAUGGCGCCCAGGACACUGCUUCUCAAGCCCCAGCUUUAUCAGUGUCAAUUAAGAAAGUUCUUUGACCUCUUUUUGCUUAGCCAGCUUCUCUGAAAUGCAGCCCUUGCUUGUAACCUCUCUCCUUGACAUCUCUUGUUUGCUCUUUCUUGUUAUUUACGGAGUCUUCUGAGUUAUAUAAAGGGGAACGUCUCAGUAAUCCUCUUAACAGCAAAGAAAUCUGGCCACCCUGUUAGGUAGGGGGAUGGAAAUGUCACAAGAUGCUUGAAAAAGGCACUGGACAAAGCUGCAACAUACUUUUGCAUGGAAAAGCCCAGAAAAUGAAUGGCACAAAAGACCACUAUAGUUAUGCUGCUUUGAGAGACAACAAAAUUAAAUUAUAAGAUGGCCUACUGCUCUGUUGCCCAGGUUAGAGUGCAGUGGCUUGAUCAUAGCUCACUGCAGCCUUGAGCUCCUAGGCUCAAGCAGUCCUCUUGCCUCAGCCUCCUGAAUAGCUGGGACUACAGGGCUCAGGGAGGACUGACAGGACUAGAGUUGACAACCAUUCAUCCAACAAACAUUUACUACAUGAGGAAGAGAGGUGAUCAAGGCACUGCCCUUGUCCCCAGGAAGCUCGCCAGUGCAUGGGACUGCACAGGUGUCUUCACCUCUGCAUUAGGCAUUCGAUUUCAGGCCAUGGCUGAGCAUCCAUCCUCUCUAUGCUAAUUUUUUCCAAAAGUCAAGAGUUUGGAAGAACACUAAUGUGUUUUUCUUCCAGCCUUUCCUAUACAAAUGACAACAUCAUUACCCUCAGCUUUUAAAGUGCAAGUCUGUACAGAGAUCCCAGAGUCAAGGAGGGCGCCUGAGUCAUUUGAAAUAAUUACCUUUUUUUUUUCCUGCCUGAGUCUUGCAUAUCUGUGAAUCAGCAAUGUGGAAACUGGGCUUCAAAAAAAUUAAGAGAGGCUUAAAGUGAGCAAAGCAGAGAAGAGCAUUGGCAAGAGCUGAGCGCUGCCACAGCAGGAACAUCAUGCCGAUCGUCAUCUAAGGGAGCUCAUGGCGCUGUCUGCCUCCUCUUAGCAACAUCCACACAGGCUGGUACAGUCAGAUCAUUGUGACUUGGACAGGGAUGAAAAUACUCAGCUGACACCAAUAGCUCCCAGCACAGCCAGGGUAUUCUAGAGGUGUGUGGUGUCAGGACAGCCUGUGUAGCCUCAUUUAUUUACCUGAGUCAUCUGAACAAAGCGGUAACUGGCUUUGCCUGGCUCUGGCAAGAACUCGCAACAAAGCCAAAGCCCCUUCCUCCACGGCCUUUGCUCCUGCAGCACAGCACUGGCAUCUUUUUAGCAUCAUAGACACUGUCACGUGGCAAUCAAUGACAGAUUAACUGUCCCUUCCCUGGGCCACAAGCUCUUCAAGGCGGGAGCCUCAGCCCAGUUUCUUCCAUGUCUCCAGUGCCCAGCACAGGGCCUGGCUUCUAGCUGGUUUCUGAUGAAUAAAUGAAUGGCUAUAGAGAUGUACUCUUCAAAACACAAGGGGCUUCUAUAGUGGCAACAUGUUCAGUAGCACAGUGCUGUAUUGGUUCUUUACAGCUUGCAGGACCCAAAGAAGGAAUGAUUUUUGUUUCCCGGGAAAGGUGUACCUCGUGGGGGCACUGCUCAAGGGAAGGUGCCCACAAGUUGGGGAUCAAGGGAGGCACAGGUUGAUCAAGGCCCCUGGAAUUGAAAUGGAGGUGUUCAUCCUGCGGAGGCUCCGAACAUCUGAGGCAGAGCCUCGAUUCUCCAGGAAAUUGACUUUGCCGGAGAACAAGGCUGGGGGAGGCAGGCUGUCCUAGGGGAGGAGUCGUAUUUCAGCCCCACUGAGACCCCAAAGGCGCACUCCCAUGCUUUACCCCAGCUGUCCACGAGGGGGCAGGCAGAGGCAAGAGAAGAGGAAAGCGGGCGGCUGGUCAGGCCCAGCACAUCCAGCCUGACAUCCCACACGCUGGGCCGCCUGACUCAGACAAAGCCAGGCCGCUCCUCCUGCCUGUUGUGGCCUCUGUGAUUUUAUGUGGUUUGGCCUGUGACAUCAGACACCACGCGACCAUGGUAACCAAAGUAUACAGCCUGGAGUGAAUGUUAAUAAACAGGAAAGAAACGAUACCUGGUGUCUUGCUUUACUCACCAUUUGCGGUCUUGUUAUCCACGCCUAAUGUCUCCUUUAUUACCACGAGCAAUCGAGAUGUACCUGAAUUCAGCAACUUUUAAAAAUGAGAAGCUAAACUGGGGAAAUAUUUGGAGAGACAGCUGGGAGCCUCUGAUGAGAAAAUAAAAAAUUUACAACAACAAGCAAGCUGUCCUCUGACACCAGGAGAGGAACUCGCUUCAGCCCUGGCAAGAAUUGCAGCUGGACUUUGUGAGGCACUGUUUCAUCAGAUGCCAAACGUCAUAGCAAGGGCAAGAAUGACAAGAAUUACAGUUUCUGCCCUGAUGCACAGGUACUGAUGGAAGAGAUAUUUCUGUGUUGAUUUUGCACUUCUCAGGGCAAAUCUGCAAAAUAGAUAUCAAAGGAGAUGUGGGCACUGGGCAAGGAGCCACACCAAUCAACCAUAUAGAGCAGUCUGGAGGAGUCUCUCCCCAUCUCCAACCCUCAGUUUUUCCCACCUGUUAAACACAGGCCACAAUGUCUGUGCAGCCACCUCGCAGUGCAGUUAAAAGAACCGGUUUAAACAGUGUUUCUUAGCUUAGAGUCAAUGGCUGAACAGGUUGCAGAGGGGCUGUAAAAUCCUGAAAUUUGCAUGAAGCAAUUUUUCCAUAUAUGUCCAUGUGCAUCUUUCUGAGGAGGGGUUUGUCGCUUUCACUAUAUUCUUAAGAAUAUAGUCACUCUUAAGAGGUUAAGGGCCACUGUUCUAGGUAAUGUGUGAAGGUGAUGUAUGUGUCCUGUAAUUGAGCUAUUAUCAGCAAGCUUUUUGAGGAAAAAGGGACACAGAGGAGCACCUAUUAUGUGUUAGGGACUGUGCAGGACACACAGAGAAUAGAAAAAAAAUGACCCUGGCCUUCUGGAGCAUAUGAUAGACUUUAGAUAUGAGCCCAAAACAGAUUAAAAGUUAAAAGGAAAAGCUAAGUAUAGGCAACACAGGUGAAAGGUCAGAAGAAUGUAAGUGCCCCAUAGAAGGAAAGAAAUGGACUUCCAGCUACAGUGGGUUUAGGGAUGGACACAGAGCGAGGGUGGGAAUGAGUACAGGGAAAGGCAGGCAAGAGCAUCUGUGGAAGAGGGAUGGCCGGUGCAGCAGAGCUUGCAUGCUGAGUUGACACGCUCCAUGCCAGAGACCCUUAGAUUGGGACUAAGUGUCACCGAAGAGAAGGCUGCGUUCAACAGAUGUUUCUCAGGGUGACAGUUCAUCCCAGGUGCCCUCAGACCCACAUGACCUGCUCUUGGUCCUUCAGCCUCCGCUCUGCAGAUGGGGCUGAGGGGCCCACCCAGAGAAGCCCUGUGGGGGAGAACAGAGCCUGCCCAGGACAGAUAUUCUCCUCCUUAGGAGCAAGUCCUCUUGACCCCCACGUUCCAAGCAGGAAGCUUUUCACAUGUAGACUUUCUUCCUGCUGUGAUGCACAAAAGCAGCCUCUUCCCAGUUAACAAAGUCUGGUGGAGCCUCCUGGGGCCAUGCCUAGCACAUCGUUACCCGAAGCAGACUAGGCAAACAAAGCCCUAGAAAAUGAGAAAAAAUGGAAAUGAUUUGAUAUUUUAGAAAAAAAUAUUGAAGUGUUUAUCGUGGGGAAAACUGGAACCCUGUUAAUAUUUUUACUAGUAUUGUAUGGCAUGGCAGUUUCUAAAUUCUGCAUGUGGUGGGGCCACUGUAACUCUUUCUGGGCGAGGACUCUGUGAUGAUUCUACUCAGACCCUGGCUCCACAGACUGGCAAGGCCGCCCCUUCCCAAAUCAGCAAGUGUCCUGGACCAAAUGGUCAUUUCUCCACUCCUCUGGGACUCUGGAAGAGCAUUCUCCGAGCUCUUGGGAUCUUGCCUUGGCUCUGUGGAUGUAAAGAUCCCAAAGUCUUUCUAGAAUGUACUCUUGAAGACUGAGUUGACUCUGGAGAUCAGUGUAGGAUCGCUGUCCCCACUUUGCAGCCCCAAACCCACUUCCCAAGGGAGUAAUUCAUUACCUGCAGUCCUGAUUACUCAAAGGGAAUGUCUAAUGACGUCUGCUCUGCAGCACCCAAGAACCUGAGACCAGGACUCCUGGCCUCUUUUCAGAAAGAGUGGAGUCUGCCAUUUCCUGACCACCGCCCUGUCCUCAAGGGCAGCUCAUCUCCCGUGUUACAUUCCUGCAUGAACCCCCGCCCUGAUCCUGUGACUUGUCAUGUGCCACAGUGCCAUGAGAUUUGUGUUACUUUGCUUCUGUUCCUGAAAGUUAUCACUUCCCCUUUUCAUCUUAUCACUGCCUGGCUGAAUGAUGAGGGUGCCUGAGGGGAACUGGGUGUCUUCUUUCUGUUCGCGGGUACCAGAAGCAGCGCACGCAGGGCCAAUGGCUUCAGUUAUAGCCACUGGGAUGAGGCGUGAUUCCUACAAGCCAGAAGAGAAAGACAAGCCUGGGAGAUUUUGUCUCAAGGGAGAGACCUCUUGGGGAGAGCCAGCUUCCCAUUGCCCCCUGUACUGAUCUGGUUUUAGCAUUCCUCUCAAACAAAGCCAGGCAAUAUCUUUUGGGCUCUCUUUUCUGCACUAGGCUCAUCAGAUGGAGGAGGGGACUCUGGCCCAGCAGAAGGCAGCAGGAGUCUGGCUUUGGCUCUCAGUCAAGACUCCUUCCAGUUCACUUGCUCCCUUGUUGUUUUUAAUCAGUCAAAGCCAAGAGCUCCAGAUGAAAAAGAAGUGGGGAGGGAGAAAGGCUAAACCUCAGUUCAAGUUAAAGCAGGAUUAUUUAUUUUAAUUAUUUAUUCAUACCAACUUCCAGCACAGCACCACAUACACGAUGGCUGGUAUUUAGAAUUUCUCAGUCGUGUCUGAUCAAAGCUUAACAGUUCCUGGGUCUCUUCACUUCCACAGAAUUCUACUUUGGUGGGGUGUGGUGGGGUGGGGAGGCAGGAGUUCGAUGUGGGAAAUUAAUUUGGGCUCAGAGAUUAACAAUGGUUAAAUCUUAGUGUACCUCACCUGCCAGGUAACAUGGUAUGGUAAACAGUUUUGGUUUUGGCUGGCUGUGCCCUGACCUACCUCUAAGAAUUACUUAUUCUACAUAUGGAAAGUUGUUAGUCAGGGUGUCUGCCUUUCUCUGGCCUGGGAUAAUGCAUGUGAACCACAUGAGGUCGGUCAGAUCCUCCUUCCUUGGAAUCUGACAUUUGAACAAAGUCAUCAAAAGAUGGAAACCAACUGGAGCUCAUUUGUGAUUCACAGUUGUGUAGCCAAGCGACCCCAAUGAGGAGGUCCUAGGUCUUGAUUCUGUGCUGCUUCUUGCCUAUGGCAUCACCCCGGUUCCUGUUUGUUCUUUCCUAGUUUCUGGACCUGAUUUCCAGUUGAGCUAUUGAAAGAUCAGCUGUUUUUCCAGUAAAUUCCCUUUUGAUUUAGAUGAGCCAAGGUCAGUUUCUGUUGCUUGCUACUCAAGGAGCUCUAACUACACCCACAAUGCACCUUUGUUUCUCAGAAUCCCUUUAGUCACACACAGGUUUCAGAAUGGUGCCCUAAAAUUGUGCUAGAAGCAAAUAAAAUCUUUGUGUUGACUUGGACUGUGUUGUAAUCAUUUCCUACAAUUUAUUUCCUUAAUUGCCAAGUUCCUACUAGCUAGUCAUUGAUUGUAGUUUGUAGCCUGCCUUUUGGUUUCUUUCAGCAUUUUUUAGUUCAUGUCACGCUUGGCCAAAACUCCCCACCCCAUUCCUGGGACCAGGCUUGCUUUCCUCAUGGUCUGCCGCUUGACAAUCUCCAGGCAGAAGACACUCAGAUACCUGCUAGGGAAACAGAAACCUGGACAACAUUUCUAUAAGCCACAUUAGAAAAACUAUCAGCAAGAGCUUCUAAAAUGUUCUUUCUUUUUGAACUAGUUAUUUAGCUAGUUUGGAAACUUACCCUAAGAAAAUUGUGAGAGAAGCAUAAAGAUUAAGUAUAUUUGUUACAGUGUUAUUUUGUAGUAGCAAAAACUAGAAAACAUUUCCCAGCAACAGAGAAUCGCUCAAGUAAACAAUGAUAUAUUCAUAUGACAAUGUGUGAUGUAUCAAUUCAAAAUCAUGAUUUUGUAGAUUAUUUAAUGCUGUGAGGAAAAUUCUCACAAUAUCUGUGCACCAGGAGAGAAAAAACAAACCAAGGCACAAAACUGUACGCACAGGGUAAUCUCAACUUUUUUUUCUUUCAAAUUGGGAAGGACCGCACCAACAUAUCAGCAGUGGUUAACUCUUGGUGGUGUGAUCACGAGUGUGUUAGCAGGCUAUACACUCUUUGAAGGCAGUAACUCUGUCUUGCUUAAGGUUAUAGCUCUAAUUCUUAGCUCAGGUCCAGGCACAUAGCUUGCCUUGAGAUAAUGAAUGAGCUUCUUUAUGUUUUUCCAUAGUUGUACUGCUAGAGAUCAAUAGGUACCAAAAUAGUCCUACUUGAACUUCUCCCUCUUUGUGAA
This is a long non-coding RNA of Pan troglodytes (chimpanzee), 9830 nucleotides long. RefSeq lists it as uncharacterized. The transcript is spliced from 4 exons. The record is from RefSeq and is a predicted model, not a curated record. NCBI's taxonomy places the organism in Eukaryota, Metazoa, Chordata, Mammalia, Primates, Hominidae.